CACGUAGGGCGCAAGCGUUGUCCGGAAUUAUUGGGCCUAAAGCAUCCGUAGCCGGUCAUGCAAGUCUUCCGUUAAAUCCAGCCGCUCAACGGUUGGGCUGCGGAGGAUACUACGUGGCUAGGAGGCGGGAGAGGCAAGCGGUACUCAGUGGGUAGGGGUAAAAUCCUUUGAUCCAUUGAAGACCACCAGUGGCGAAGGCGGCUUGCCAGAACGCGCUCGACGGUGAGGGAUGAAAGCUGGGGGAGCAAACCGG
Molecule: ribosomal RNA, 253 nt
Filed under: uncultured bacterium
Lineage: Bacteria
Description: partial 16S ribosomal RNA
Rfam family: Bacterial small subunit ribosomal RNA
Source: RNAcentral